Molecule: long non-coding RNA, 7650 nt
Organism: Gallus gallus (chicken)
Lineage: Eukaryota; Metazoa; Chordata; Aves; Galliformes; Phasianidae
Exons: 17
Source: RefSeq, a predicted model, not a curated record
GGGAGGUUUAAACGGCGGAACCGCGGACGUGGCGCUCAAUGACCACGGGCAGCUGCUUGGCAGCCGGCGCUGCUGGAACCGCGACGACGCAUUUCGAGGUGUCAUCCCCCCCCAAAAGGGAGCACCUGAGAAUCCCUGAAGCCUCUGACCAAUACAGAAAAUGUUAUGCUGAGGGACAGAGCCAGUAGUUUCAACCAUAGCAGCAGCAGAAGCAAAAGAGGGAACCAGAUUUUGACCGGUCAGAGAGGUGAAGCAUCACCACUGUACAAAUAGGGUCCUCCAGGUUUUUCAAAAGAAGGGGAGGAACAGUUGUAUGUCAGCAGACUGAAGAGGUAUUUGGCAGAGUUUGAAUCAGCUCUAAAGUUGAGGAUCCGAUCCCAUCUUAACUCAAAGGAUGUAGCAAGAAGAAAUCAAACUUCACAAGAAGUUGAGGAUUUGAAAAAAGGAUGUCAUUCAUGUUUUGAAUUCCUGGAUUAAUGGCUCUGGAUGGAGUCCAUUUAAGAUUAAGACAGUAGCCAAGAGCCGUCCUUCCAGCCCCACACUGUGCAGACCUGGGAGAAAGGAGGAAGUGGUCCUCAUCCUAAGGAAUUUAAACUGUGAGAAAAGUGGUGAUGAGAUACAAGUCAUGCUAAUUUCAAGUGUUAAUGAAGCAGAAUCCAUCCCGAUGUGAAGCAACUCGAGGAUGCUCUGUGACACAGCCAUAAUGGGACCAGACAUUAUGGUCUAUUGUGUUAAUAAUCUGUGAAUUAAAGCAUCCCCCAGCAAGCUGUUAAUGUGAUGGAUUGUAUCAGUGAUGUGCUGUUAAAGGGUCCCCAGUCAACCUUGACACAACAGGCCAGAGCGGUUUGGAAGGCCUGGCAGCUCCAUCAGACAGUUGGGCCGUGCCUGGUGCACAAGAUAAACCUGAUAGGAGAUCACGGGGAGCUUCAGAGGAGGCUGAGGAUGCUCAUCACAUUGCCAGGGAUGGGCCUGAGAGACCAAAAUGCUCAGAAUCCUCUUGACGAAGAAAAGCAGAAGUCUCAGCAUUAAAAAUAGAUGCUUUUUAUCUUGCAUAGGAUACAAAAUCUCUUCUGAUAGGACAUUUUUUUAUGAUAUUUUAGCAGCUCCAAGCAGUCUUGGAUUAGGCCUGUAUCACAACAGUAAUACACAGGAGGCUAUGUUUUGUCUUGCUAUGACACCAGCUACUAUUGUUUUUGAUCUGCAGCCUCUGAAGAGGGAUGCUGCAUCUUCGACGGAAGGUGUUAUGAGUGCAGAUUAGUUAGACAAGUGCUGGAGUGAAUGCAUAAGCAGUGAUUUUGCAUAAUGAGGUAUGUGAAAUCCCAGUGGAGGUUGUUAAAACAGAUAGACAGCCUGUGGUAAACAACAAGGAAGGUAAGCUUUGAAAACAGAUGGCUUUGAAAACCUGGCAAAUGACUGUUCCAUACUUAAAAAUCAGUUUUGUUGGAGGAAAAUAUCUUCCUAAAACAAAAAACAAAAUAAAAAAAAAAAAAAAAGAAAAAGCUUAGCCUGCAUAUUUUCAUAAACCUGAACAUGUUAAUGUGCAUUCUGUGGGUAACCAUAUAUCAGCUGUCUUUCCUGCUGUACGUGUGCCUGCACGAUGGAGGCAAUGGAGCAAAUACCCUGAGAUGUUCUGUCAGACAUUGCCAUGCAACUCCUUCUCUCUGGCAGACGUGUUGCUCUUCAUUAUCACUUUGUCAAUCUGUAUAGCCCUUAGAUACCCAAGGGCAGUAUGGACACAACUUAAAGAUGGAGCAGGUGCUCUGAUGCCUUCUUGAGAAGGAUCACAAACGCUUCCAAGGGAUGUCUCAGUCCCCAUCUUCUGCUGCAGAAUAAGUGUCUCAAGAUCUGUUGUUUGCCGUGCUUCAUCGAGGUCGUUACAAAUGUCUGCUGGAGAGAUAGGAAGUUGUGGAGCAAAUGAGAAGGGACAGCACUGUCCUGUCAUUAACAGGUUCAGAAGAAGUCGGAUAUCCCAGCAAGAACACAGAAUCACAAGAGUUGGAAGGAACCUCAAGAGACCAUUGAAUCCAACUCCUCUGCUAAGGUCUGACCAACAGAAGGAGUGGCUGCAGUGCAUGCUGUGCCUUUAGUGCACUCCUCAACACGGCACCCAGAAAAUCAAAGUGUGGAAACUGACAGAAUAACCAUUGUGUCGCCCUUUAGCAACUAUCUGCUAAAACAUGGAGGUCGUUCUAUGAAGGGCAGCGUGCUGGAAUGCAAACAAGAAUGUGAAGUGUUUUGUAUGAAUGUGGAUUCUUCCAUUCCAAUACUAACUGGCUGUCAGCAGUUCUCUUUGAAGCUGGAGCACACUGGAGCUCAACCACUGCACAAGGAUUAGAGACUCAUACGUUCUAAGGCAUUAGUAAAAAUAUAUUCCAGGUGGAUUCUGUCUCUUAAAUGCGUCAUUAUUAUUAAGGCAGUAGAGUUUUUUGGCGUGCAAUCUCUUCCAAAGCAUUGACUCAUGGGAGGAAGAGGGAGCAGCUUUUCCUUUUGCUCAGCAUGCAAGCCUCUGACAAACAGGGUCUGCUGGGAUGUUCUGUCCAAGGAGAUUGAUCAGAGGUGUCGGAGCGAGCUGUGCUCAACUGGGCCUGGCAGCAAAACUGGGAGAGGCUCACAAUGAGGGUGAAAGGGAGGAGGAAAACCAGACGUUCUGCUUUUAUCAUUGUAAUGCCAUAGGGCUUUAAACAGCAAAAUCUGUGCUGGUAGGAAAGCCCAUGCCUAAAUAUCAGUACCAGUUUGGAUGAUAAAUAUGGACUAAGAGAAGGCUCCUAAGUAGAGACUUAAACUGACUGGUAUCCUCCAGGUGUGUAAACCUACUUAAAUCCUGAAAUAAAAACAGCGUACUUCAAAACUAAAUGCAACUGAAGAACAACACAGUGCAAAUUUCAAGUCUGCUCCUUUUCUUUCAGACUUGAGAAGAUCUGAUGGGCCUAAAAGCUUUCUAGUCUAAGUUUUCUAGCUGUGCUGCUUUGUUUCAGGCAGGAUAUCUGUGUUAGAGUUCCUUGUUCUUGGGGCCACGAUAUGAGUAAUAUCAGCAUCAAAAGAUGGUACCUUACCAGUUGCAAGGAAUCUGGCUGGGUUCUUGUGCAGUUUUACUUCUUUUGCAAGUCUUGUGGCAGCCUGCUAUAGGAUGGGCUCCUCACUAAAGGUGUCUUUAAUGGAUGGGAACAGAGAUGUCCUCUGUCUGCAUGUUUGCUAUGUGUGCAGUUUUCCAGCAGGCUUAUUCUUAUCUGUUUGUGUGGCUCUUUGCAUGAAACUUGGCAUGGUUUUGGAGAUGUUUUGGUAUUUUAUUGAUGUUGCUCACAAGGCAGAUACAUUUUCUCUCCCUUGUAAGCUAUGGAAAAACCUAAAGCUUCUUAAAAAAUAAUAAUAAAAAAUAUAUAAAGCAAUUCAGCUUUUUGAAAACGCAUAAUUGAAGAGCUCUGAAAUAAUUGGCUUAUUAUAGUGCACCCGUAAAAAUGAAUUUGCAUCUCAUUUAUGAAUUAAUAGAUUCCCUAUUACAUGAGACUGAUUGUUCUUAAUGUGACUUGCAUGUAAUUUAGCAUUCUUUACUCAAACCCUUUGUAGCUACACACUGGGGGAGGGAAGUUCAUUCCAAAAUCAUGGUGCUAGAUCUGAGAUUAUGGAGAAUUCACAAAUGGUUGGAGCGUUCACAAACUGGGUCCUGGAUAUUGUGCUCUCAGCAUCUUCUUUGCCUCUGUAUUCCCAUCCCAGCUGCACGCUCUACUGCAGAAGCCUGAGAGUAUCAAACUAAUUCUUUUAUUUGGGGGAAUCCCAGAUAUGAACACAGACUGGCAGAAGAACUCCUUGAGAGCAGCCCUGUGGUGAAGGAUGUGGGGUUCUGGUGGAGGAAAAGCUGACAUGAGCAGCAGUGUGUGCUUGCUGUUCUACAGUUCCUUGCUUUGCCAUCACUGGGAAGGCUUGGUCACAUUGCAAUGAGAAGUGCUGUUACGGAAGAUAAACUUCAGCUGUGAGUACUUGGGUAGCUGCUAAGUGCCAUGGAUGUGAUUUUGCAGACUCCUCACUGUGACAGUCAUCCAGCCUUGUUCUAAGGGGACUGUCUGAAGUCUCCUCUCUUGCACUUCAACUGAUGGAAGGUGUGGUACUGCUUUUGUUUGUUAUGGGGUAGCAGGUAGUUGUUCCUUGUGGGGGGAAGCAAUUCUGGAUUGAAAAAUUACAGAAGGACCUUAUGCUCUUUUAGGCAAAGCACAAUACACAGAGAUCCAUUAACUUCAGGAGAUAACCAUCAACAUUGAUUGCAGAUGCAUCAGAACAGCAGUGAAAUCCUUUGUGCUUCCUUUUUGUCUGUAAAUACUCUCAGUUUAGCAGUGUAACAAAUCCAGCCAGAAGCACCAACACCAAACAGCCAGGGAAGCAUAACAGCCCCCUACUCCUCUUACAUCAAUUUACAGCAGAGAUUACGUUUGGUUUCAGAAACGUGGAGAUGCUCACCCUUAAAAGCUACCAUUUCAUAUAAGGAAAUUAUUCACUUUAUACAUGAGAACAGGUUAGAACAGUGUCAGCACCGAUGCUGGGUGUUGCUGGGCUGCCACUUGCUGUUAGGGGAACAAUUACUCCAGCUCUGAGCCCAACCCUACUUUGGGGCUGGAGCUAACGAGGCACGUGGUGCACUGCAGAAAUGGGCUCAGGAGCUCAGCUCAGGCAAUCCCUGCUGCAGCUGUUGUGCUAACACAUUUCUUCCACUCCAUCCGUUUCCCUGUCUGGCAGACUUUGUUAUUGUUUUGCUUAGAGGUGGUUUUACACCUCGGAAUCUGCAAAGGGUUGUUAUAAAGCUUCCGAGUGUAGGGGUUAAGCAGGAUCGAUCUGUUGGCUUUUCCAAAACGAGUGCUCUACCGCACUGGCCUUUGAGGGAUAAAUGUCUUAUUCAGACAAAUCCACGAUGCUUUUCAGAGAGAAUCACUUUGCUGCACAGCUGUUGUCAGGGAGCAUGACUGGUGCACGGAUUGCUGGCAUAAGGCAGCCAGCAAUGGGAUUCUCUUUGCUUUCUUUGGGGAAGGUGGAAACGUGCAUUUUCAAAGCAGCUCAUUUAGUAAAUGUCUGCUUUUAAUCCCCAGACUAACUCAUUUUCAUUCUGUUCCUAUCUCCGAAGGUGAAUUCUGGGCACAAUUUGGAAGAUUCCUUUCAGCUUUCACUAAUUGGCAAUCAAAAGUACCCAUCAUCCUGGAUCCAAAACGUCAAGUCUCUGCUUUGAGCAUAAACUUGCUGCUAUCGCCAUGCAGACAUAGUGCUCAUUAUCUGUGCAGGAGGUCGCCUUUGCAUGCUGGAGGAAAACACUGGAGAUGGGGAAGAUACCUACAGUCCUUCUGUGACUUGGGACAUAAUAAAGUAAACAUAAGUCAGUUUGUAGUGCAACAAGAGCUCAUUUGGAGCACAAAGACAGGAGUGUGCUGAAUGCAAUUUCCUUUGUAAGUUUUUGAGAUAAUUUAGAGCCCACUCCUCCAAUGCUGAAGUGGAGAUGCAAAUGCUUGGAACAGAAGACUGACCCUAUAAGACUGCCUUGGUGAUACCUGACAGAUCGUAGGAUCAUUAAGGUGGGCUCAGCACUUUAUCUUUUUGCAGAAGCCAAAACUCUGACACUUGGAAAGAUGAAAGUUGUCAACUCUCAGCUGGUGUUUCAUCCAAGGGGAAAGGCCUGUGUUGACUUGAACCAUCUAAGAAUAUGUCCAUAUCUGUCUUCUUUCAGAGCAGGCAUUUCAGAAAUAACCCAGGGAAGUUGUUGCAUUUCUGCAAGGCCUGUGUACCUGACCUACAUACACAGCUUUGAAAACUCCAGUCCUUAGGAACUACAGUGAAACUCAGUGUUGCUCUAUGAUGCAGAAAAGCCCACUAUGUUUCCCUUUAUUUUUUCUCAGUAUUUUACAUGAAAAUGUUUUGGCAGGGAAAAAAAACAGAGGAGAUAUUUCUACUUGUGUUUAAUUUCAGUUACUUUUAAUGUUUCUUCGGCAGUAUGAAAUUAAUUCCUUUUUUUUUAUAUAUAUAUAUAUACUGAGAACAGAGGAUGUGCUGUGAGGCUGUAUGGUUGUAUGGUAAUCUGUUGAACCACAGUGGGAUAGUGGCCUAUUUUGUGUCCAAAAGGGGAGUUGGGUGUUUGGGAUAUCAAGGAUCCCCUGCCAUUUUUGCAGGUGUAUUUUCUGGUUUUGCACAAACAGCUGCUGGCACAGACACUGCCUCUUGCUCUGCUCCUGGCCUUGAUGCCCAGUCUUGUGCUGGUAGGAUGCACAGGAACACUUCACCCCUUGAAUUCCCAAGGAAGUUUUACCGUAUCUCUUAUAAGCCUUGCCUGUUUUAGGUUCUUGAUACACUCAGAUCCUGAAGUUUGUACAUCCCAAAUUGCCAGGCUGUUGAUCUUGGCGCACAUGCAUCUGAACUAAUAACUCGCUCAGUUCACUGGAGACUGCAUGAGUAAAUAGGGAGCAGUGGGAAUAAGCCCAAAGCUUGUGGGGCUGGUGGCAUUAAUAAUACUUCCACUGAAACACACCUGUUGUUGCUUUCCCCAGAGGAAAAUUUGGUGUUCAGAAGCCCCCCGACACAUGAAGAGGAAGAUGCAGGCUGUGAUUUUAGAUCUCUGAUUCGGCACCACCUGAGUGGGUUUGAACUGCGAUUUUGAUAAACAGAUAAGCACAAAUGGUGCCUUUCUGCUUAUUACUUGGAUGUCAAAUCUCAGCCUCAUGCAAUUGGAACUGCUGACUUAUUAAACCUUGGAAAUUGGGCUUGAUAACAGAAACAGCAACUCAGUGAGCCUUCAUUACAGCUGCGGCACUGACCAUGACAUAGCUCUUCACACAGAGGAGUUCAAUGUGAGGGAGUGAGUGUGGUAGAAACCAUUUGUCAGGACUGGUGUUAGCUGUGAAUGUGGCUGUUCUCCAUGCUGCUCACCAGGCUCAGUGGGGCAGUGUUAGCACCAGGAGAGUAAAACAGAAGCUAUUAUCUUUUCUUUGUGCCAUGUUUUCAAGAGUCAGUUCAACAUUGGAGUGGAGACUGUCUGCUGUGCUGCUUUAAUAGCAAACCUGGGGAGUUUUGAUGAAGCAUUAUUAAAAAGUUAUAUCACAAAUGACUGUUUAGAUGUGAGUUUACUCAGUUCUGCUUUCGUUCACUGCUGCUCCUCAGUUUUAGAACUAUUUGAAUAGCAAAAUGCAUGUCAUCAUUUUCAAAUGCUUAGAAGACAAAGCCAAUGUUUCAUCAAUUUAUCUAUGUCCCAAAUGGCCCUUCUAUCCAAGACUGUGCUCGAAACUCUGGAUUACAGGCAUAAAAGAUGAAUAGAAUUGUAAUGAUUUGCUUUAAAAGAGCACUAAGAUUUGGGGAGUACAAUGAAAGCCUGCCAUAGCCUAAGCAUUUUUCUUCUGUGUUGUUUUUCAAAGGAACACACUGGUAAAAUCAAAAGAGAUGGCAGGGAUAUGUUUUAUAUUACUAUACAAGGGCAAACAGAUGGUUUACUUUUUCUCCUUUUUAAAAUAUGUAGCUACUGCAUUCUCAUUAUAUCUCUUGGAAUGGUUUCAGAUAUCAAUUCAGUUUGCAAAACUGAGUUGAUUGAAUAAUAGGUUUAUCACAAUUUCAAAUCAAUUAGAGAUACUCCUCGCCAGAGGAGGAGAUGGUUUACUUAAAUAUCAAUAAUAAAACUGUAUAAGCUAUGAA